GAAAUGCGAUAAGUAAUGUGAAUUGCAGAAUUCAGUGAAUCAUCGAAUCUUUGAACGCACAUUGCGCCCGCCAGUAUUCUGGCGGGCAUGCCUGUCCGAGCGUCAUUUCAACCAUCAAGCCCCCGGGCUUGUGUUGGGGACCUGCGGCUGCCCGCAGGCCCUGAAAAACAGUGGCGGGCUCGCUGUCACACCGAGCGUAGUAGCAAUCACCUCGCUCAGGGCGUGCUGCGGGUUCCGGCCGUUAAACAGCCUUACAAAACCCAAGGUUGACCUCGGAUCAGGUAGGAAGACCCGCUGAACUUAAGC
RNAcentral lists this unclassified non-coding RNA (306 nucleotides) under plant metagenome. RNAcentral describes it as "partial contains 5.8S ribosomal RNA, internal transcribed spacer 2, and large subunit ribosomal RNA". The stretch from base 1 to 105 matches the Rfam family "5.8S ribosomal RNA", at positions 50 to 154 of the family's 154-position model. The record is from RNAcentral.